RNAcentral lists this ribosomal RNA (253 nucleotides) under uncultured bacterium. RNAcentral describes it as "partial 16S ribosomal RNA". It matches the Rfam family "Bacterial small subunit ribosomal RNA", at positions 524 to 776 of the family's 1533-position model. The record is from RNAcentral.
UACAGAGGGUGCAAGCGUUAAUCGGAAUUACUGGGCGUAAAGCGCGCGUAGGUGGUUUGGUAAGUCAGAUGUGAAAUCCCCGGGCUCAACCUGGGAAUUGCAUUUGAUACUGCUUGACUAGAGUUUGGGAGAGGGAAGUGGAAUUCCACAAGUAGCGGUGAAAUGCGUAGAUAUGUGGAGGAAUACCAGUGGCGAAGGCGGCUUCCUGGCCUAAAACUGACACUGAGGUGCGAAAGCGUGGGGAGCAAACAGG